This 214-nucleotide long non-coding RNA is filed under the name Gallus gallus (chicken). Lineage: Eukaryota; Metazoa; Chordata; Aves; Galliformes; Phasianidae. The record is from RNAcentral.
CCCUUCCCCACCCACCGUCAGCCAUCCCGGAGGGCUUCCAACUCAAUGAGCCACCCAUCUCGGAGGUCUUCCAACUCAGUGAGGUUGGAGAAGCGCUCCGAGGUCAGCCAACCCCACCACCAACCCGCCCCACUCAGACCCAUCCGUCUCAGAGCCCUCCCAGCUCCGAUGUUGUACUUCUUGGAGGGGUUGGCAGCCGCGUGUUUGACGGCCC